UUUAUUAUAGUUUAAAUAGAACAUUAAAUUGCAAAUUUAAAAGCAGAUUUCUCUUAAUAAAU
RNAcentral lists this transfer RNA (62 nucleotides) under Cyclophorus martensianus. RNAcentral describes it as "tRNA-Cys". Lineage: Eukaryota; Metazoa; Mollusca; Gastropoda; Architaenioglossa; Cyclophoridae. The record is from RNAcentral.